CUACGUGCCAGCAGCCGCGGUAAUACGUAGGGCGCGAGCGUUGUCCGGAAUUAUUGGGCGUAAAGAGCUUGUAGGCGGUUUGUCGCGUCUGCUGUGAAAGGCCGGGGCUUAACCCCGUGUAUUGCAGUGGGUACGGGCAGACUAGAGUGCAGUAGGGGAGACUGGAAUUCCUGGUGUAGCGGUGGAAUGCGCAGAUAUCAGGAGGAACACCGAUGGCGAAGGCAGGUCUCUGGGCUGUAACUGACGCUGAGAAGCGAAAGCAUGGGGAGCGAACAGGAUUAGAUACCCUGGUAGUCCAUGCCGUAAACGUUGGGCACUAGGUGUGGGGGACAUUCCACGUUUUCCGCGCCGUAGCUAACGCAUUAAGUGCCCCGCCUGGGGAGUACGGCCGCAAGGCUAAAACUCAAAGGAAUUGACGGGGGCCCGCACAAGCGGCGGAGCAUGCGGAUUAAUUCGAUGCAACGCGAAGAACCUUACCAAGGCUUGACAUGC
Molecule: ribosomal RNA, 492 nt
Filed under: uncultured bacterium
Lineage: Bacteria
Description: bacterial SSU rRNA
Rfam family: Bacterial small subunit ribosomal RNA
Source: RNAcentral